GCGUAAAUGUGUCUCGAUUCUCCUUGGGAGGUCUCACGACGUGAUAGCGGCGCCCGACUCUCGAAAUUGUGGUACCCUGUAACGUCCUGAGACUUCCUGCGGGGAUCUGUCGACCCACUUUGUCCU
Apis mellifera (honey bee) is the source of this 126-nucleotide non-coding RNA. The record is from RefSeq and is marked provisional. NCBI's taxonomy places the organism in Eukaryota, Metazoa, Arthropoda, Insecta, Hymenoptera, Apidae.